Molecule: ribosomal RNA, 501 nt
Filed under: uncultured bacterium
Lineage: Bacteria
Description: partial 16S ribosomal RNA
Rfam family: Bacterial small subunit ribosomal RNA
Source: RNAcentral
AUUGAACGCUGGCGGCAGGCUUAACACAUGCAAGUCGAGCGGAGAUGAGGUGCUUGCACCUUAUCUUAGCGGCGGACAGGUGAGUAAUGCUUAGGAAUCUGCCUAUUAGUGGGGGACAACAUCCCGAAAGGAAUGCUAAUACCGCAUACGUCCUACGGGAGAAAGCAGGGGAUCUUCGGACCCUGCGCUAAUAGAUGAGCCUAAGUCGGAUUAGCUAGUUGGUGGGGUAAAUGCCUACCAAGGCGACGAUCUGUAGCGGGUCUGAGAGGAUGAUCCGCCACACUGGGACUGAGACACGGCCCAGACUCCUACGGGAGGCAGCAGUGGGGAAUAUUGGACAAUGGGCGGAAGCCUGAUCCAGCCAUGCCGCGUGUGUGAAGAAGGCCUUUUGGUUGUAAAGCACUUUAAGCGAGGAGGAGGCUACUUAGAUUAAUACUCUGGGAUAGUGGACGUUACUCGCAGAAUAAGCACCGGCUAACUCUGUGCCAGCCGCCGCUGUAA